Molecule: non-coding RNA, 30 nt
Filed under: Mus musculus (house mouse)
Lineage: Eukaryota; Metazoa; Chordata; Mammalia; Rodentia; Muridae
Source: RNAcentral
UAAAACAGAUCUUCAUUUUGCCUUUGCUUU